UUCGCCAGGGAACAACGAGCCCCAGCUUAAAACCCAAAGGACUUGGCGGUGCUUUAGACCCCCCUAGAGGAGCCUGUUCUAGAACCGAUUCCCCCCGUUCAACCUCACCCUCUCUUGUUUUCCCCGCCUAUAUACCGCCGUCGUCAGCUUACCCCUUGCCGGCCAAACAGUAAGCAAAAUUGGCAAAGCCCAAAACGUCAGGUCGAGGUGUAGCGUACGAGAGGGGAAGAAAUGGGCUACAUUUACUGAACCAGUAAACACGAAUGUUGCACUGAAACGAGCAUCUGAAGGAGGAUUUAGCAGUAAGAGGGCAGCAGAGCGUCCCCCUGAAAACGGCCCUGAAGCGAGCACACACCGCCCGUCACUCUCCCCGAAAACCGCAGCACAUAAAUAAUAUAACCAAGCCCAAAACAAAGGGGAGGCAAGUCGUAACAAGGUAAGUGUACCGGAAGGUGCACUUGGAAAAACC
This 469-nucleotide ribosomal RNA is filed under the name Ctenogobiops feroculus (sandy prawn-goby). RNAcentral's name for it is "partial 12S ribosomal RNA". It matches the Rfam family "Bacterial small subunit ribosomal RNA", at positions 868 to 1528 of the family's 1533-position model. The record is from RNAcentral. Lineage: Eukaryota; Metazoa; Chordata; Actinopteri; Gobiiformes; Gobiidae.